UACAGAGGUCCCAAGCGUUGUUCGGAUUCACUGGGCGUAAAGGGUGCGUAGGUGGCCUGGCAAGUUUGAUGUGAAAGCUCGGAGCUUAACUCCGAAAUGGCAUUGAAUACUACUAGGCUUGAGGGUCGGAGGGGAGACUGGAAUUCUCGGUGUAGCAGUGAAAUGCGUAGAUAUCGAGAGGAACACCAGUGGCGAAGGCGAGUCUCUGGGCGACCCCUGACACUGAGGCACGAAAGCUAGGGGAGCAAACAGG
This 253-nucleotide ribosomal RNA is filed under the name uncultured bacterium. RNAcentral's name for it is "partial 16S ribosomal RNA". It matches the Rfam family "Bacterial small subunit ribosomal RNA", at positions 524 to 776 of the family's 1533-position model. The record is from RNAcentral.